CACUCUAGAGAGACUGCCAGGGAUAACCUGGAGGAAGGUGGGGAUGACGUCAAAUCAUCAUGCCCCUUAUGCUUAGGGCUACACACGUGCUACAAUGGGUAGUACAGAGGGUUGCCAAGCCGUAAGGUGGAGCUAAUCCCUUAAAGCUACUCUCAGUUCGGAUUGUAGGCUGAAACUCGCCUACAUGAAGCUGGAGUUACUAGUAAGCGCAGAUCAGAAUGCUGCGGUGAAUGCGUUCCCGGGUCUUGUACACACCGCCCGUCACACCACGGGAGUUGGAGACGCCCGAAGCCGAUUAUCUAACCUUUUGGAAGAAGUCGUCGAAGGUGGAAUC
This 334-nucleotide ribosomal RNA is filed under the name Clostridioides difficile. RNAcentral describes it as "bacterial SSU rRNA". It matches the Rfam family "Bacterial small subunit ribosomal RNA", at positions 1136 to 1469 of the family's 1533-position model. Lineage: Bacteria; Bacillati; Bacillota; Clostridia; Peptostreptococcales; Peptostreptococcaceae. The record is from RNAcentral.